GGACUACUGACGAGUCCCAAACAGGACGAAACAGCUGUCCAGCGC
Echinostoma caproni is the source of this 45-nucleotide non-coding RNA. The record is from Rfam. Lineage: Eukaryota; Metazoa; Platyhelminthes; Trematoda; Plagiorchiida; Echinostomatidae.